Jaculus jaculus (lesser Egyptian jerboa) is the source of this 137-nucleotide small nucleolar RNA. The record is from Ensembl. Lineage: Eukaryota; Metazoa; Chordata; Mammalia; Rodentia; Dipodidae.
UUACCAAUUUAGCUAUUGCGGGGGAAGGUUCUUUAAAUAACCUUUACCAACAUGUGCUAUUUGGGAGAACAAUUCAGACCACACUCCACAGUGGGCUAUACCUUAGUAUAGUUCAUUACUAUUUUGUGGCCUACAUU